ACGGCUCAGUAACACGUGGCUAACCUGCCCUCGGGACGAGAACACCCCCGGGAAACUGGGGCUAAUUCUCGAUAGGCGAAGAACUCUGGAAUGAGUCUUCACCCAAAAGACGUUUAGAUCAUGCUUUUAGGCGUCGCCCAAGGAUGGGGCCGCGACCGAUCAGGUUGUUGGUGAGGUAAUGGCUCACCAAGCCUUUAACCGGUGCGGGCCGUGGGAGCGGGAGCCCGGAGAUGGGCACUGAGACAAGGGCCCAGGCCCUACGGGGCGCAGCAGUCGCGAAAACUUUGCAAUAAGCGAAAGCUUGACAGGGCUAUCCCGAGUGCCAUCCGCUGAGGAAGGCUUUUACCCAGUCUAGUAAGCUGGGGGAAUAAGGAGAGGGCAAGUCUGGUGUCAGCCGCCGCGGUAAUACCAGCUCUCCGAGUGGUGUGGAUGUUUAUUGGGCCUAAAGCAUCCGUAGCUGGCUGAGUUAGUCCCCUGUUAAAUCCACCGAAUCAAUCGUUGGAUUGCGGGGGAUACUGUUCGGCUAGGGGACGGGAGAGGCAGACGGUAUUUUCGGGGUAGGGGUGAAAUCCUAUAAUCCCGGGAAGACCACCAGUGGCGAAGGCUGUCUGCUAGAACGCGCCCGACGGUGAGGGAUGAAAGCUGGGGUAGCGAACCGGAUUAGAUACCCGGGUAGUCCCAGCUGUAAACGAUGCAGGCUAGGUGUUUGGGCGGCCACGUGCCGCUCUAGUGCCGCAGGGAAGCUGUUAAGCCUGCCGCCUGGGGAGUACGAUCGCAAGAUUGAAACUUAAAGGAAUUGGCGGGGGAGCAC
RNAcentral lists this ribosomal RNA (811 nucleotides) under uncultured miscellaneous Crenarchaeota group. Its description in RNAcentral is "bacterial SSU rRNA". It matches the Rfam family "Archaeal small subunit ribosomal RNA", at positions 85 to 879 of the family's 1478-position model. Lineage: Archaea; Thermoproteati; Candidatus Bathyarchaeota. The record is from RNAcentral.